Pangasianodon hypophthalmus (striped catfish) is the source of this 1792-nucleotide long non-coding RNA. RefSeq lists it as uncharacterized. Lineage: Eukaryota; Metazoa; Chordata; Actinopteri; Siluriformes; Pangasiidae. The transcript is spliced from 3 exons. The record is from RefSeq and is a predicted model, not a curated record.
AAUCACAAUCCAUGCAUCCGAUGUUCCAUUAGUAGCUAGCUGACAUUCUUUACAAGCUAGCUACAAGUAGCCAAGGUUUUUAACUAGCUUGCUAUAGUUAAUAUUGGUAUACUGUCAUAAAAAAAAAAUUCUAGUGGAAACCAAUAGAGAUUUCCAGUGCAUCCUAAAGGGUUUUAAUGUGUAUUUGGUGGUCUAGAAUGGUAAUUAAUGGAAUGUGUUGUCUCUAGUAAUUCUGGUUUAUCUGAUUUUAUUCUGAUGCUAAACAUCCACCCUUUGGAUUCUGGUGGUAACCAAAAAAUCCCUAAUUUUUCCCAAUUUUUUUUAAUCUAAUGGAAGCAAAUAAGCCAAUUUCUGAUGGAAACCAUUAGGGAUGCUUUUUUCCCCUCUGAGUUCUUUCUCCAUAUAUCUCCAUAUGUCUUCAGAUGUCUCCAAUAAUAAUUUAGCCAUGUUUCUGAGCUGCAGUAACACCUUAAUCUAGAAAAAAAAAUGUUUUGUACUGAGCUUCUGCAUUGUCCCGAGAAGGUGGUUGAGAAUGUGGGACAUGACCAGAGUAAAAGGCAUGAGACACUGCUUGCAAUCAAUAUAAAUGAUUUAUUGACUCCAAAACUUGCAUUCACAAAGCAAAACAAAGCAAAACAAAGCAUUAAACAGGGACACCAGCUCUGAGCUUCCUCAUGGAGGUGCUUCUCCAGAACUGCCUUCAAACAGACAAAAUGCACCCUUUCUAUCUCAGGGCUCAAACCAAUUCACAUGCAUAGGGGAAUGGAAAUCAUAUAUACACAAAGAAAUACAAAAAUAAACUUAACAGUUGGCACGAAAAUUCAAAAUAAAUUUUAACAUUAAUAUUACCAAAAAACAAAUACCAGAAGUAAUAAAAAAAAUACAUCUUCAUAAACUAUAUUCAAAAUAAACACAAAAUAAUUCACACAGGCUUGAUAGACUAGGCCUACACUACCCAUAAUUCUUCAGGAUAGCAUAAAAUGGGGAACAGGAAGGCCGCAUAUCCUCUUAAACCCCACCCCUGGAACCAUGCUGCAGCCAUGAACCACCCAGAGACAAAAGAACUGGGUUGGAAGAAAUGGGACAAGACUCCUAAGGCUUCGCUAAGUCUGUGCUAAGACGCAGGGUCUCAGUAGGUGGUAACAUGAGCACCGUUUGGGGCCAAAGUGGGAUGAGAAAUACCACUGUGGCAAAGCUUUACAAUUCCACAAGGCAAAGAAGUAGAAAAGGGUGCACUAUGUUUCCUUAUCAAAGAAGAACUCAUCCAAAACAAAUCAGCAUACCUCCGGACUUGAAACAGACAUAGCUCCUUGACUUUGUGGGUUCUGAAACACUGCACUGUUUUCUUAUUCCAUUUCAUCUGAGGAAUACCAUGUUCUUUGACACGUAAUGACCUUUCAGUUGGAAACGCUGCAGAGAGCGCUGACAUUAUGUAGGCGGAAUCGGAUUAUUAAUUUCUCUAGCUUUAGGUAAAUAUUCUCCUCCAUGGUGGAACCAUGACCUUCUGCAGCAUUAUCAGCAUCCAAAACUAUAGCAAAAACACACUUUUACUAGACAUUAUUAUAAUUUUUACAAACUUGUGUACAGAUGUGUACACAUGUGGUUUUUAGACACUUUGCAUGCUACAUUUGACACAUUUUUUCACGUGUAGUGCAUGAGAUUUUUUUUGUACAAAUGAUUCAUUUAUUUUUACACGUUUUUUACACAUAAAUCAAUUUAUUUUCACAUGAUUCAAUUACUUCCAUGUGAUUUUUUUUUAAAAAAUAUGAUUCAAUUUUUCCUCAUGUCAAUU